UAAGGAAUAUUGGUCAAUGGACGCAAGUCUGAACCAGCCAUGCCGCGUGAAGGAUGAAGGUCCUCUGGAUUGUAAACUUCUUUUAUCUGGGACGAAAACGGGAUUUUUAUCUCAAUUGACGGUACCAGAGGAAUAAGCACCGGCUAACUCCGUGCCAGCAGCCGCGGUAAUACGUAGGGGGCAAGCGUUGUCCGGAUUUACUGGGUGUAAAGGGCGCGCAGGCGGGAUAAAAGUCAGUGGUGAAAUCCUACAGCUUAACUGUAGAACUGCCUUUGAUACUUUUAUUCUUGAGUUCGGGAGAGAGAGACGGAAUUCCAGGUGUAGUUGUGAAAUACGUAGAUAUCUGGAAGAACACCAGUUGCGAAGGCGGUCUCGUGGUCCGACACUGACGCUGAGGCGCGAAAGCGUGGGGAGCAAACA
Molecule: ribosomal RNA, 420 nt
Filed under: uncultured bacterium
Lineage: Bacteria
Description: bacterial SSU rRNA
Rfam family: Bacterial small subunit ribosomal RNA
Source: RNAcentral